CAGGGGCAAUCACUAGGAUCCGAUAAGAAUCUUCUUUAGAAAAUAUACAAAACAAGUCAAGAAAUCUGGUAGGGAUUCUUCGAUUCUUGAACCUUCAAUGCCUAAGUCGACUUUGAGCCCGAGAAUAGAGGUGGAAAAGAGUGGUAGAGCAAGAGGGUUUAAAUGAAACUAGAGAGUUUGGACUGAGUAGGAGCUAGAGCUCUCGUUUGAGAACUGGCAAGGCUCUCUACUGGCAGAGUCUCACUCUAGUAUGAGCCAAGAAUUUAGAAUUUGAAAAAACUUACCUAGAGGAUCCCUGGCUC
RNAcentral lists this long non-coding RNA (302 nucleotides) under Elaeis guineensis (African oil palm). RNAcentral describes it as "long non-coding RNA (EGUI_LNC051176)". Lineage: Eukaryota; Viridiplantae; Streptophyta; Magnoliopsida; Arecales; Arecaceae. The record is from RNAcentral.